RNAcentral lists this ribosomal RNA (97 nucleotides) under Saimiri boliviensis boliviensis (Bolivian squirrel monkey). The record is from RNAcentral. Lineage: Eukaryota; Metazoa; Chordata; Mammalia; Primates; Cebidae.
GUCUAUGGCCAUACCACCCUGAACGUGCUUGAUCUUAUCUGAUCUCAGAAGCUAAGCAGGGUCAGAGACAACCUAGGAAUACUGGGUGCUGUAGGCU